Molecule: non-coding RNA, 171 nt
Filed under: Photobacterium jeanii
Lineage: Bacteria; Pseudomonadati; Pseudomonadota; Gammaproteobacteria; Vibrionales; Vibrionaceae
Description: FMN sequence
Rfam family: FMN riboswitch aptamer (RFN element)
About the family: The RFN element is a highly conserved domain that is found frequently in the 5'-untranslated regions of prokaryotic mRNAs that encode for flavin mononucleotide (FMN) biosynthesis and transport proteins.
Source: Rfam by way of RNAcentral
GCGAAUUCUCAGGGCGGGGCGAAAUUCCCCACCGGCGGUAAAUCAAGUUGAAGUGACUUGAUCAGCCCGCGAGCGCUUACUUGAACACAUAACUCAAGUAUUCAAGUAAGGUCAGCAGAUCUGGUGAAAACCCAGAGCCGACGGUCAUAGUCCGGAUGAAAGAGGAUCAGU